AUCCAAUUGACAAGUCCCAAAUCGGACGAAACGCUUGUCUUAGAU
Molecule: non-coding RNA, 45 nt
Organism: Schistosoma rodhaini
Lineage: Eukaryota; Metazoa; Platyhelminthes; Trematoda; Strigeidida; Schistosomatidae
Source: Rfam